GGACCCUGGACGCAACCCGCCUGGAUUAAGGCAUACAAUCCACCCAGGUCUGUGAGGCGCCGAUUGCGCAACACAAGUCCGAAGAAGCGCCGAAGCAGGACAUGCAAAGACCGCUAAGCGCAUGGGCCCGAUUCGACGGUAGAUGGUCCGUCCUCGAUGACGAGGAUGUGGCCGUGGUGCCGCAGAGGUGAAGUGAGCUGUGGUUGUGUAUGCGUAUAUUUGAUAAUUUGUUCGUGGGGGAGAGAGAUGUAAAGCAAAGAGAAGAAAUUGCUUUUCUCUGCGCUCAUGUACGCGUUUUCUUGAACUACGUGGCCCUCUCCAAUUGUGCAUGGGAGAGACCGCUACCCGAUAAAAGUAUGGAGAACGCAUUGCAGUUCAAUGGACGCACAAAGGGUGCAGAGCAGGCAAAGAAUACGAGGCCAUUCACCUCUCUGGCUCCAUGAUCACGAAUCUUGAAUUGCGCUUGUCGCGCUGAUUUAGUGCCACAGCCGAGCUUGCAGAGAUGCACAGGUCUCCCAGAGGGAGGUGCACCCCCGUCCGCGCGCCAUAUUCAGAUAUUCUGGCUUUGCUAACGCAAGGGAAUUGGGGCUGAGCGAGGGCUU
This 602-nucleotide unclassified non-coding RNA is filed under the name Leishmania donovani. Its description in RNAcentral is "gene:unknown". Lineage: Eukaryota; Euglenozoa; Kinetoplastea; Trypanosomatida; Trypanosomatidae. The record is from RNAcentral.